Non-coding RNA from Cricetulus griseus (Chinese hamster), 2502 nucleotides. The record is from RefSeq and is a predicted model, not a curated record. Lineage: Eukaryota; Metazoa; Chordata; Mammalia; Rodentia; Cricetidae.
AAUGGGACCUUGGGAGGGGGGUAUAAAGGAAGGUGUAAUUUCCUUAAUAAACAACUAUGCAGCACGCUCUGUUACUCACUGACUCCCUGUGUCUGAGUACUGAGGCAUUGGUGCUGCAUCUUCUCACCCACUCCCCCAAGGGGUGUCUGAGCAGGAUCACCGGCAACACUGACACAACAUAAUAAGUCAAGGACCCUCCAAAGUUCCUGCCUCUGGGUUCCUGCUUUGAGUUUCUGCCCUGACCUCCCUCAAUAAUGAACUCUAAUAAGGAAAAGAGAAUAAACCCUUUACUCCUCAAGUUUUCAUGGUAACAAUCAAACUAGGAAGCAGAAUCUCCCAGUGAACAUAAGCCAAGUGCUAAGUGGGAAGCUCACAUUGAAAAAUAUGUGCUGUCCUUGUUGGAUUUGGUGGCAUAAACCUGCAGUAUCUGCUACUUGAACUGCUGCUCCUGAUGAGGCAUUAGGAUUGCAACUUCAAAAAGAAUUCAAGGCCAUUUGAAAAGACAUAUCCAGUCCAUGGAUCCAAGACUUAAGAGGACAAACAUCAUCACAAAACUGAGAGUUCAGAUCCCCAAGGAAAGCCAAGGAGUAACAAAAAUGGAAAAAUGGAAAAUUUCAGUGUACAUGAUGAUUUGCAAGCAUCUGGCACAACAAGAACAUAGAAAAUCUGAAACAUGUUCAUGAUUCCUGUCUUCCCAGAAAAGAACAGAAUGUGGCAUCACACUGCUGAGGAGAAUAGUAAGACUGGACUAAAUAGUAAGACUGGACUGAAGCUCAUACAAGGACAUCCUGUGCUUUUAGCAUUGUAUUUGUUAUCUAAGGUGUGUUUUGGUUGCUCUGCAUUCCAGUUGUAGAAAACACUGCUAAAAAGGGAUAGAAACAAUAAUUAACAGAUAUAAUUUACAAUAAAAUACAAUACAAUUCUGAUGCAGUGGCUAAAGGGAAAUAAAGAGGCCAAUAGUAUAAAACCUGCUGAAUCCAUUUACUGUUGCUUAUGUGUAUAUAUUUCAGAGCUGACCGCUAGGUAUUGAAUAACCAACUAGGGAGAUCAUCCCCAGGGAAGACUAAUUCUCCCUCUCUUAGCCUUCAUAUAGUUGCCUGUAGCUCUUUAUCUAGGUGCGAAUCCCCAUGAAAUUUCCUCUUCCACCUUAGUAGGUCUAAAGGGGCUGUCAUUGUUCAGGUCUUCUUUUAGGCAGCCAUACUAUUGAGGUAUCAUGGUUGUAGCUUUCCUAUUGUUUCUAGGAGACACAAUCUCAUGAAAGACUUCAUGGUCCUCUCAUUCUUACAGUCUUUUCAUCUUCUCUCUAUUGAUAUUCCCUGAGCCUUAGGGGCAAGGAUUGUGUUGCAGAUGUAUUUCCUGGAGCUGGGUAUAGCAAAAUUGGUUGAUCCCCGAAUUUUGAUGAGUUGCAGUUUUCCGUGAAACUCUCAGUGUGUUGCAAAAAUGAAACCACUUUGAUGAGGGGUGAAAGCUACACUUACCUGUGUGUAUAAGGGCAAGUGCUAGAUUACAAGUUAAGGAAAUAUGCUGGCUGAGUAAAGUGGUAAUCUAGAGGUAGAUCUCCUCUAAGAUAUGCAACAUUAUUAGCCUUGUGUUCUUGACUAGAUUUCUAAUACUGGACACAAUUUCUUUCUUGUUGAGCUGGCCUCAAAUCCAAUUAGACGGCUAUUUAUUCUUGCCAAGUUAUGAAUACCACCAUUGGACCUUUAGAGAUAUCUUUCCUUGGCCGUCAUUGUUGUAGAUUCUAGGCAACAAGACUGGGUAGGACUGUUGAUCUCUUCCUCUCUCGGCAUCUUGCAUAGCAAUUUCUGGUACUAUAAAAACUAGACACCAGGGAGGAAGCUUCCAGAUCAGAUCCAGCACACAUUUGAGUCAUGUGUCUGGUGAUGUCAUCAGUAGUACUUACCUUCAACUUCUGGGAGACAACCAAGAGCAAGAGCAAUAGCCUAUGUUGCUUUCAGUGUCUCUUGGACAUCCAGUCACUGAAAAGGUUUCUCAUGUCUGAUACUAGUUUUUUGUUCCUCAUAUGUAACUUCAUAUAUGUAGUCCUUCUGCAUCCUAUUUCUCUGUAGCUCAAGUCAGUGUGUGUGUGUGUGUGUGGUGUGCAUGUGUAAUUUUACGUAAAAUUAAAUAAUAUUCCUUAAGGCAUCUUUGUCAUUGAUUGUCUCAUCCUCUCCCUCUGUAUUGACCUCCCUUCCCCUUUCCAUUUUUUCCAUUCUUCCCAUUCAUAUCACCUGUAUCUUGUUAUUCUCCUUUCUUGGCCCCCUCAUGGUCAAAGAAUGAAUUUAAUUAAUGAAGAAUAAGUAUAAGGAGGACCAAGCAGGCAGAGAUGGAGACACACACACCUGGCCAGAGCCAUUUGCCCUGGGCAGGGAAGAGAAACCACAGCACACCUGAGGCCACCUAGGUAGUCAAGUGCCAUUAUAGUGACCAAAUAUAUUGUGGGGUAUGGGAGAGAAGGGAAGAGGCAGAAUGGUUCAUUUCCUAUGGAGAGAGACAAAUCUG